UCCCGUUGAUCCUGCGGGAGAUUGCUGCUAUUGGGGUUCGAUUAAGCCAUGCAAGUCAUGGGGUUCUUCGGAACACCGGCGUAAUGCUCAGUAACACGUCGAUAAUCUACCUUUAGGUUUGGGAUAACCUUGGAAAACUGAGGCUAAAACCAAAUAGGAAAAUUCUACUGGAAUGUGUUUUUUCUCAAAAGUAAUGCCUAAAGAUGAGUCGGCGGCAGAUUAGGUUGUUGGUGGGGUAAAGGCCCACCAAGCCAAUGAUCUGUACGGGCCUUGAGAGAGGGAGCCCGGAGAAGGACACUGAAAUACUGGUCCUAGCCCUACGGGGUGCAGCAGGCGCGAAACCUCUACAAUGCACGAAAGUGUGAUAGGGGGACCCCAAGUGCUUAUACUUUGUAUAGGCUUUUGCCAAAUGUAAAUAGUUUGGCGAAUAAGUGGUGGGAAAGACUGGUGCCAGCCGCCGCGGUAACACCAGCGCCACAAGUGGCAAUCGCUUUUAUUGGGCCUAAAGCGUCCGUAGCCGGUUUAUUAAGUCUUUUGUGAAAUUGUUCAGCCUAACUGAACAGCGUGCAGAGGAUACUGGUAAACUUGAGACCGGGAGGGGUUAGAGGUAUUCCUUGGGUAGCGGUAAAAUGCUAUAAUCCUUGGAGGACCACCUGUGGCGAAGGCGUCUAACCAGAACGGUUCUGACGGUGAGGGACGAAAGCUAGGGGAGCAAUCCGGAUUAGAUACCCGAGUAGUCCUGGCUGUAAACGCUGCGAGCUAGAUGUUGCAUAUUCCACGUGAAUGUGCAGUGUCGAUGCGAAGGCAUUAAGCUCGCCGCCUGGGAAGUAUGGUCGCAAGACUGAAACUUAAAGGAAUUGGCGGGGGAGCACCACAAGGGGUGCGGCGUGCGGUUUAAUCUAACUCAACGCAGAGAAUCUCACCAAGGGCGACGGCAGGAUGAAAGUCAGGCUAAAGACUUUACUUGACGAGCCGAGAGGUAGUGCAUGGCCGCCGUCAGCUCGUGCCGUAAGGUGUCCUGUUAAGUCAGGCAACGAGCGAGACCUGUACUUACAAUUGCUAACUGCAAGCUUGCUUGGACAGAGCACUUUGUAGGGACUGCCCUGGAAACAGGGAGGAAGGUGCAGGCUACGGUAGGUCUGUAUGCUCCGAAUCCUUUGGGCAACACGCGCGCAACAAUGGUAAGGACAAUGGGAUGCAACUCCGAAAGGAGAAGCUAAACCUCUAAACCUUAUCCAAGUCCAGAUUGAGGUUUGUAACUCAGCCUCAUGACGAUGGAAUCCCUAGUAAUCGGAUGUCAACAUCGUCCGGUGAAUAUGUCCCUGCUCCUUGCACACACCGCCCGUCAAACCAACCGAGCAGGGUUUAGGUGAGUCUCAGCAUAUUUUGGCUGGUCCGAAUCUAAGCUCAGUGAGGUGGGUUAAGUCGUCACAAGGUA
This 1438-nucleotide ribosomal RNA is filed under the name metagenome. RNAcentral describes it as "bacterial SSU rRNA". It matches the Rfam family "Archaeal small subunit ribosomal RNA". The record is from RNAcentral.